This is a long non-coding RNA of Polyodon spathula (Mississippi paddlefish), 1055 nucleotides long. RefSeq lists it as uncharacterized. NCBI's taxonomy places the organism in Eukaryota, Metazoa, Chordata, Actinopteri, Acipenseriformes, Polyodontidae. The transcript is spliced from 3 exons. The record is from RefSeq and is a predicted model, not a curated record.
CAUCUGUCCUGCCUUCCUGUGUAAAGAAAAAGUGAAUGCUGUCUGCACAUACCCAGAGGGUCUAAACAUAAACACAUGAGAACAGAAAUACGGAUAUCUACUGAGGAAAGAUCCUAGCAAGUGAGGGAUAAAAGAAGGGGAAAUGCAUCAACCUAAGUAGGCCAGCAGUAGUGAUGAAACAGUUAACAACAAUCAAGCAAAUUCCACAAUACUCUGCACAAACAGGAUGUCUUGCUGAAAUCCCUGGAGUACACCUAUAAGGUCUAUGAGUCACACAAUUAGCUUGUGUUUAGUUUCAGGGCAAACGCCCUUACAGACUGUGCCAGAAUUUUUAAGUAAAUAAAAAUUGAGCAAUUUCUUGGCAUUCACUAACUCUGUAAUGAAUGUGCAGCAUAAGAACAUUGCUCAAUACAGUACAAUUAGGCUCUGUUUCCACCUUUUUAAAAUGCCGUUAUCAUUUUACUGUGUGAAGGAGGCAUAUGGAUCUUUUUUAGGGGGUGGGGGUUUGGAAAGCUAAUUCAAUUAUUUAACUGUGAGUUAUUUGCAAUUGGCAUAUCUUUAGUAGGUAGCAUGAUUGCUUCUUUGAUCUGCUUACAGUAUAGUGUAUGACUGUAUGCAGCUGAGUACUUUGUUUGGUGUUACGCUAUAGAGGUGUGCAAGCAAUUAUUGGUCUGUGUCAUUAAUCCCACAAUAGUUGUCAGCAACAUCACAUACAUUAUAGAAUGUGUCAGCAGAUCACAAACAGAAGCUUAAAAAAAACUUCACUUACAGACUGUAGAUGAGGGACAAAAGUUCUUUCUGAACUAGCAUGCACACUUAUUUGUAGGGGUACCAGAAAACUGGGAUUUCAGUGUUCAUUUUUUUUUUAUCUCAGUCGGAAACAGUGCUGUUGAUAAAUCGUUCCGGUGUUGCUAUUGUAUUAAAAACAUAAUAAUAUUAAGAUAAAAAAAUGUUGCAAUGUGUUUUGGUUAGGUGACCAUAGAAAGAAAACUGUUAUGAUCUCAAUAAAUACACCUGUUUAAUUUUUCAAUUAUUGUUGUCUUAUUAUAUGCUGC